This 129-nucleotide small nuclear RNA is filed under the name Erinaceus europaeus (western European hedgehog). Its description in RNAcentral is "U1 spliceosomal RNA". It matches the Rfam family "U1 spliceosomal RNA". From Rfam's summary of the family: U1 is a small nuclear RNA (snRNA) component of the spliceosome (involved in pre-mRNA splicing). Its 5' end forms complementary base pairs with the 5' splice junction, thus defining the 5' donor site of an intron. The record is from Rfam by way of RNAcentral. Lineage: Eukaryota; Metazoa; Chordata; Mammalia; Eulipotyphla; Erinaceidae.
AUACUUACCUGGCAGGAGAAAUACCGUAAUCACGAAGGUGGUUUUCCCAGGGCGAGGCGUAUCCUCAAAUGUGGGAGACUCAACCACAUAAUUUGUGGUAGUGGGGAACUGUGUUUGCGCUCUCUCCUG